UAACCGGCGGAAACGGCGACUAAUACCCCAUAUGCUGCGAUGCUGCAUGGCAUUGCAAUGAAAGAUUCAUCGGUGGCGGAUAGGCUCGCGGGACAUUAGCUAGACGGCGGGGCAACGGCCCACCGUGGCGACGAUGUCUAGGGGUUCUGAGAGGAAGACCCCCCACACUGGGACUGAGACACGGCCCAGACUCCUACGGGAGGCAGCAGUGAGGAAUAUUGGUCAAUGGGCGGAAGCCUGAACCAGCCAUGCCGCGUGAAGGACUAAGGCCCUACGGGUCGUAAACUUCUUUAGACGCAGAGCAAUAAGGUCCACGAGUGGACCGAUGAGAGUAUGCGUAGAAUAAGCAUCGGCUAACUCCGUGCCAGCAGCCGCGGUAAUACGGGGGAUGCGAGCGUUAUCCGGAUUCAUUGGGUUUAAAGGGUGCGUAGGCGGCCGAGUAAGUCAGCGGUGAAAGACCGGGGCUCAACCCUGGAAGUGCCGUUGAUACUGUUUGGCUGGAAUGAUCCCGCCGCGGGAGGAAUGAGUGGUGUAGCGGUGAAAUGCAUAGAUAUCACUCAGAACACCGAUUGCGAAGGCAUCUCGCGAGGGGUCAAUUGACGCUGAGGCACGAAAGCGUGGGGAUCAAACAGGAUUAGAUACCCUGGUAGUCCACGCGGU
This 660-nucleotide ribosomal RNA is filed under the name uncultured bacterium. Its description in RNAcentral is "bacterial SSU rRNA". It matches the Rfam family "Bacterial small subunit ribosomal RNA", at positions 144 to 803 of the family's 1533-position model. The record is from RNAcentral.